CAGGCUCAUAACCUGAAGGCCGCAGGUUCAAAUCCUGCCCCCGCAA
Rhizobium sp. is the source of this 46-nucleotide non-coding RNA. Lineage: Bacteria; Pseudomonadati; Pseudomonadota; Alphaproteobacteria; Hyphomicrobiales; Rhizobiaceae. The record is from Rfam.